This 372-nucleotide long non-coding RNA is filed under the name Nicotiana benthamiana. RNAcentral's name for it is "long non-coding RNA (NBEN_LNC014137)". The record is from RNAcentral. Lineage: Eukaryota; Viridiplantae; Streptophyta; Magnoliopsida; Solanales; Solanaceae.
GAAAAUUGAGCUGAAACAAGAGAUCGAUGCAAAAGUUAGAAGAAUUGAUCUUCAGAUUUACAAAUGAACCUGAAUUUGGUCGAAUUGGUAAAAAUUGCGUGAACUCAUGAAAUUGAUGUACGAUCUUAAAUCAGAAAUGAAUCGGAAGAACAGAACACAAUUGAGGUGGAAGAACACUGCCUCGCUCUGAUACCAUGUGAAGAACUGAAGCUAUGGGGAGCAGGCCGCAUUGGAGACGAUGCUCCAAGCUGAAGCAGAGAACAUUCUAGAUUGAUGAGAAGGAAAAAUGGAAAAUGCAAAGUGAUCUCUAUUGACUGUAUCAGAUACAAUAUAUACACACAUUACCAAUUCAUCAGUUAGUGGAAGCUCCAC